Molecule: long non-coding RNA, 3036 nt
Organism: Pan troglodytes (chimpanzee)
Lineage: Eukaryota; Metazoa; Chordata; Mammalia; Primates; Hominidae
Gene: NEPNP
Product: nephrocan, pseudogene
Exons: 3
Source: RefSeq, a predicted model, not a curated record
AUUCAAAAUCACCCCUCUGUUCACUGAAAUAAAUGCAUAUCUGAUUGCUUUCUUUGGAGAGGCUAAUCAGAAACUCAAAAGAAUUCAACCACUUGUCUCUUAUCUACCUUUGACCUGGAAGUCCCCUCCCCACCUUUCCAGACUGAAUCAAUGUUCAUCAUACAUAUGUUGAUUGAUGUAUCAUAUCUCCCUAAAAUGUAUAAAACCAAACUGCUCUGACCACCACUUAGGACUUCCCUGAGGCUGUGCCACAGGCAUGUGUUCUCAACCUUGGCAAAAUAAACUUUCUAAAUUAACUGAAACCUGUCUCAGGUUUUCAGAGUUCACAUUUCAAAUGACAAUUAUAGCAGAGAAGCAAGGUUGAAGAGGAGAUUGAAGGAUCUUUUCAAUAUUAAGAGUUUCAUUAGAGCAAACUGCUGAGGCCUGCUGGCAUUAGGAAAUAAAGUUCUUCAUUUGUGGAUAGAGAUCUUCUUUAUAUAAUUUUUUGCAUAGCAUGCUUUCGAAACCCUCAGCAGGUAUGCUCAGAGCAAGACAAAAAAGCCACAUCAAAGGAGUGCCUGGACAAGUGAAGCUUUCCCCUCUGUACUCAGUGAGGUUUCACAACUGACAACUUUCCCUGAAGUGGCUAGAGGCCCUUUCUAUCAUUAUUAAACAUAGAUGAAAAUAAUCCACCCAUGUUGAGGUUUUGUUCUCUGAAUGAGCAAUAUUUUUGAGCAACAAAGUUGUUUUCCAAAUAUUACAUUUGGGUGGAUCAAGUGAUAAAUGAGUAAGUUAUCUGUGCCUCUAAGUAUCUUGCCAUUGUACCACCAUUGUUUUAUUUAACAAUAAAAUGUUACUGAAACUGCAGUAAAAAAUAGAAAACCUUCCUAUUUUCCCUUACUAGUUAAUGUGAGAAGACAACACCUGCCUGUUUCAGUCCCACAAAAAUGGUUUUAAUAUAGGGUCACACAAAAUUCAAAGGUUUUAUGGCCCAUUAUAAAACAGCUCUUUGUCUUUGCCCACUAAUUCCCUAGUGUCACAUUUAACAAACAAGGAAACUACAGAUAAUAGAGGUGUUUGCAGAUUAGCUUUCAAAACCAUAAAUAACAUAGGGUUUUCUCACCUACAAAUAUUAAGGCAGCUUAUCAAUGUUUAAGCCCCUUCCUCUUUAUAAUUGUUGCUAACGUUUUAACCCAAAUUGAGAAAAUUUUUCUUUACUGUCUUCUUACAUUGACAGAGUACACAUUCAUUAGAUUUUAUUAUCAGAUUUCAUGGUAUAAAGAGACAUCAGCUGAACACCCACCUACAUCUGAGAUCCCCUGUUUUGGAAGAUGCAUCUGCUUUAUGCUUUCUUUAUUUUGCUCUCUCUUAGCAAUGGUUUUAAUCCUAACUGUCCUGGAAGAUGUAACUGUGAUUCUUUGUGGUCGGCGCAAUGCUACAGACUAACGGAGGUACCAUCAAGUAUUCCGUCUACCAUCAAGAGGCUCUACAUCAGCCACAGAAAAAUUCAUCACCUCCAGCUGUCUGACUUCUCCUGGAUAUAGGCUUUAGAAGAUUCUAUUCUGCUGGCCAGUGGAACAGAGUCAGUAGAAAAUGACACCUUCAAAACUCUGAGUACUUUGAAGACCUUAGAACUCUGGAAAAAUAAGUUGAGGCCCUAGUGCUCUCCCAGCCAGUCUUGAAGUGUUAAAACUAAAUGAUAACUCAAUAAAUGUCCUACAUGGAUCAGAUUUUGAAGGACUUAAGAAAUUAAAAAUCCUCAAACUUAAAAACAACCUGAUCUCUUCCCUCUCUCCCAGCACUUUCUCCUCCCUUGUCAGUUUGCAAAGUUUGAUGUUGGAUGGUAACAACGUGGAGGCUAUAGCUGGACCCCUGAUACUUCCCCAUCUGACACAUAUGAGCCUGGAGAAUAAUAAGCUACAUCUUAUACAAUAGCUUCUUCACUCUUCUGUAGUCUUUGCAAUUUCUCAGUUUCAGUGGUAACUUUCUGACUAAAGUUCCUAUCAAUCUACCCAAAUACUUGCUAUCUUUAAAGAUGGAAAGAAACCACCUCAGAACAGUAAGGUUUUGAGACACAAGACACUUGGAGAAUCUUUCCCAUCUUUACCUGUCAGAAAACUUACUCUCUUCCAUCAAUGGGGCACAGUUCCUUACCAAUUUAACUGCUCUUGAGCUGUCCCAAAACCAGCUCCAAAUAUUGCCCUUCAGACUACCAGUAAAGCUACAAAAACUUGAUUGUAGCAAUAAUCUGAUUCAGAGAGUAACAGCACAAGACUUCCAGGACCUCCAAGACUUGAAACAUUUGAUUCUGGACAACAACAUUGCUAGUUUCUUCGAAGCUGGAGCCCUGCAGAGGUGUUCUCAGCUCUCCAACCUGGCGCUGGAGCAGAAUCUGCUGUUGUCCAUACCCCUAAGCUUGAGAGACAGAGCUGUAUGAAAAGGCAAUGCUGCUCAGUUACUGUUGCCCUGACAGUUGUGGAAUAAUGGGCAUGGCCUCCUCUCACAUCCUGUUUCCAUGCUUUGCAGGCUCCCAGGGACCUUAACUAGGCUGGACCUAAAAGGCAAUGUCAUCCAGAAUAUUGCUGAACGGGAGCUCAAGGACCUCAAGCAGCUUCAUGUUCUAAACCUGAGGAACAAUAAGAUCUCUGCCUUAGACCUAAAAGCCUUAGAGGGUCUGCCUCACCUCAGGCACCUGUACCUGGAUGGAAAUCCCUGGAAUUGCACCUGCAGUCUCUUAAAAGUGAGAGAAGUCCUGAUGGCCAAGGGCACAGAUGUAAGGGGAGGACAAUGUGCAGCACCAACUGAACAGCAUGGGGAGAGCUGGAUGUCUUCCAAGAAGAUCAUGAGGCAAUGUGAGCAUCACUUUCAUCUGACCGAGAAAAGCAAAGAGACCAAAAAGAAAUCAAAACCUGAAGACCCCUCCAGCAUCAGAAUCAACAUGGAUGAUGGAUGAUUAUAACUAUGAAACAGAUUAAGUAUGAACUUUGCUCACAGUUUAGAAAGUGUUUCUUAAUGUUCAAUCACUUAAGUAGAAAUGUGCUAUACACUUAGAUAUGC